GACUGGACGUUAAAUCACUGUUGAUAACAGGCCCCCCGAUGGGGAGUUUGGGACCACCGACUCUAAAGGCUGCUUCCAGUCUCCUCGCCCGAGGAGAUGCUACCGUGGAGCUGGGCUCUUCAAAAUGGCAGCUGUGGUCAAGUUCCAGAAAGAUCUGACGUCUUUUUAACCCAGUAGCAAAAUAUGGGGCUGUAUCCCUGCAGACCCAAAGGAGAAAAGUCCGAGGGCUCAGAUGGCCACGUGCUCCAACACCUCGUGCUUAAUCGGACCGUGGGCACCUCGGCUACCUACAGUAAGAGUUAGCGCAGCUCCUGGGUUCCGAGGUGAGGUGUCGGAAGGUGCAAACCACCGCGGUAAAUCGCGUCUUCAGGUGUUUUUUUGUUUUUUGUUUUUUUUAACCGACGCUACGAAGCCCUCGUUGCUCUGUUCGGAUAGGUGGGAAAACAGCGCUGGUCUGAACUUCUAAGUUCUGAGGUCCACUCUGCCUUGCGUCCACAGAGCUGCGGACCGUUUCAGCAGGCUACACUCUCCUAGCAGGCGGCCAUAACAAGGCUCCCUUGGCGCGAACUACAAGGAAACUCAAGAAACACUUAAAAACAGGAAAAAAAA
Molecule: long non-coding RNA, 609 nt
Filed under: Rattus norvegicus (Norway rat)
Lineage: Eukaryota; Metazoa; Chordata; Mammalia; Rodentia; Muridae
Description: long non-coding RNA NONRATT012713
Source: RNAcentral